RNAcentral lists this long non-coding RNA (3351 nucleotides) under Ananas comosus (pineapple). RNAcentral describes it as "long non-coding RNA (ACOM_LNC019957)". Lineage: Eukaryota; Viridiplantae; Streptophyta; Magnoliopsida; Poales; Bromeliaceae. The record is from RNAcentral.
AACUUAAACAAGCUCUCUUUUGCUUGUUUUAUAGAUCAAAUCCGGAGUAUUGAGCAUAUGCCAUGUUAGGGCAUCCCAAAGAGGGGUUUUGCUCAUAUGGGGUUUUGAUCUAUUUUGACCAUGUAGAAACCUAAUUGGGGACCUAACGAACGCAUUGGUGCGCUCGGUUCGGCAAUCCGACGAGCGUACGCGAAGUUAUUGACGAAACGGUCGGUUUUGGUACAGAUAGCCGCAGCACGCGGAAUAAAGGUCUAAAAAUCAUGAGAUCGGAACUGGAGCACCUUGGAGUCAAGGAAUAAACGUCGAAAAAGACGGAUCGCGGUUCGGAAAUCGUUUGGAAGUCGCGCAAGAGCUUGGGCCUAACCGGGCAACGGUCGCCGCGGGAGGCCGAUUGCAAGUGACGACGAGCAAUCGGAACGCUGUAAAAGGUGGGGGAGUGCCAUCCCGAAGCAAUCGGGCUUCUUCCUAUGUCUUAGUACUUAUCCAUUCACAUGUAGCAUAUUGUAUAUCGAUACCUUGCAUUAUAGGAUGACAAUACAUGCAUUCCUAAUCCUUAUAUGAUGUUUAUGAUCAAUAUGGUAUUAUGAUAUGGAUAUAUGAUGUAAUGGACAUAAGGAUUAUGAGAUGACAUUGGUAAACCUAUGAUGCUAAAUGAGAGAAGAACCUAGUGUUGUGUUUAAAGACAUAGUUUACAAGUGGCAUUGAACUUAUUGUGCUAGAAACACAUAAGACUUGAACUUAGUAAUGGAUUGGUUGUUGUACUAGAAACUGAUCAAGUUGCAUAUUGGGAUAUUGCAUUAUAGAGUACUAGUUGACAAUUGUUACAUGUCAUGGCAUGCUAGUGGGAGUGUAGUGUUACUUCAUUAAUACUUGUAUCUAGUAUGCAUGAGAUUGGGACUUAGUGUGGUGAAACCCUAUAAGGGCAUGAUUAAUGUGAAUUAAACUUUAGUUGAGUGCAUUAAUCGAUCAAGUUGCAUAUUGUAUUUAUUGCAUUUAGAUGCUAGAUGAUUAUGGUCAUUACUCAUAUUUGCAUGCUAGUAGCAAUACAUCUUGAUGAUUGUCCCAUGAUCUAGUAUGCAUGAUGAUUAUAUAAUGAAAACCCUACAAUAAAGACCUAGACCCUAUAUGAGAUGUUUAAUGCUUAUGUUGCUAAAGAACUAGUAUGAUGUAACUAGUGUUGAUGCUGAGUCUAAAGGACGAGUGGCAUCUAGUUAGAAAAUUAUGAUGAGUGGCAUAUGAUUGUUGAUAACCUUGACAUGAGAACCUUAGUGUAGUUGAAACACUAUGAGAUUCGGUACAAGAACACCUUGAUUUUAUGAUGAGAUUACCCUCAGAGGGUAGGUUGCUGUUGCUCGUGAGAUGAUCACGCUCGCAUUGCCUGUCUGCGCUUGGUGGGGUCGCUCCCCUCAAGUUGUGCGCUCCGGAGAUUGGUCACUAGAGAGGCAGCCCUGCUUGCUGCUCGGAUAGCCGCUUGUUAUCCGCAGGCGUACUCGGGGAUAGUCCAGCUGGGCAUCCCUAGGAGAUUGAUAUGUGAGCCUUGCUUGUGGACCUUGUGUUCACCUUGAGAUUUGGUUACCUAUUGAGUCAUACUCAUUAUUGUUGUUCAUGAUGGCUUGCUUCCGUUCACCAUGAGAUUUGGUUACCUAUUGAGUCAUACUCACUAUUGUUGUUCAUGAUAGCUUGCUUCCAUAGUUGUUGUUGUGGUUUAUAGUAGCUUACUAGUGUUCAUAUUAGCUUACUUAUUGCUCAUGCAUUCAUGAUAUACUAUUCCUUCACCUAUGAGAUUUGAGUGGAGUAGCUCGGUACCUAGUAGGUUGAGAUGUGAGUCGGGCACAGUGCGGGGUAGCCUUUGCCUAGGCCUUUAAGAUGUGAGCCAGUUCUUUGAGAUGUGAGUCGGGCAAAGUGCGGGGUAGCCUUUGCCUAGGACCUUGAGAUGUGAGUCGGGCGAGGGGCGGGGUAGCUCUUUGCCUGGGACUCACGAGAUUGAGUCAGACCUUUGAGAUAUGAGUCGAGUGAGACAAGAGUGAGGUAGCUCUUCACCUACUAGAUUUGAGAUCUUAGGCAAGUUAGCCUAGCGGAUUGGGUAAUAACAUGAAUAGCAUAAGAGUAUUGCAUUCAUACCUUGAUUAGACAUAGUGCAUUGCAUAACUAUGUUGUUGUUGUAUUUAUUUCACUGUUGAGGCAUAUUAGCAUGAUAGUAGAUUGUUGCUAGAUGAUGUUCCAUGCAUACUUUGCAUUUGAUGGCAUAGUAGAUAUAGUAGUAGUAUUUCCAUAUAUCUUUCUAUCUAUCUAUCUGUGCCAGCUUGGACCUAGUGGGAAGAUCGGCGGAGUCGGCGGCCGAACCCACUGGGAACUAUAUUUAUAUAGUUCUCACCCCGUGUGGUUUUGGGGUACAGGUACACACGAGAGCGGAUCGGCAGAGGAUCGCGUUAUGGGCUUAGCGCCCUAGUGCUAGUUGAUAGUUUACUUUCCUAUUUUGCAUUAGAGUUACCCUAUACAUGUAUUGAGAGUAGAUGAUGUAUAGGAUGUGAGGUAUUUUGAGAUAAAUGUAAACUAAUGUUUAUCUUUUGAAGAAUGUAAGCUUAUAUUCAUAGUUUGGAAAAGAAUGCAAGUUGUAAUUAAAUGUAUCGAGCUGAAUGGUUGUAAUAGAAUAGUUAAGUAUCUCUCUUUUGUUUCACUUGUAUGUCUUCUACUUGUGACGCUUGCUCUUGUAAUGUUCAGCACUGUUUGUGCUUUAGUCGUUGUUGUAUGAUUGUGUAUGUAUUCAAGUGUUUUCCUGGGAACUUGUUGUACACAAUCACGUCAUUUGAGCCUUGGGCGGACAGGGGAGACUCUGUCCUUUCGGCGGUCCGCCCGCCGCGCCCGAACCGUGCCAAAUCGGUAGCGGCCUCGGGGCGUGGGGCGCGACAUGUUAUGGGCGGAGCAAGGCAAUGUUCACGUCCGCGAGGAACGAGAAGCGUCUGAGAGGGACGGUGGAAAGAAACGGGCUCAAGGUGGUUCGAGAGCUCAAUCAAAGUCGAGGAAGCCCCCGAAGUACCUGCGGACUUAGUCCAAGAGCCGUGGACCUCAACGGUACACUAUCUAUGGUGGAAACCAUAAGCCAAGGACUUGUGGACAACGGGAGGGGAAGUGCUUCAUCUGCGGCCAGGCGGGACAUAUUAGCCGCUACUGUCUGGUGAGGGCUUCGCCCGCCCCGUCGAUCGCGUCGGCUCCAGCGAUGCCAGCUCAUUAUGGAGGCGUUCCACCUACUGCUGCAUCGGCCGGACGUGCAAUGACGCCACGUCAGCCCGAGAUGACUCGAUCGGCUCCGAGCGGACGGGUAUUCGCCGCUCAAGCCCAAACCGAGGAACC